CCUACGGGAGGCAGCAGUAGGGAAUCUUCCGCAAUGGACGAAAGUCUGACGGAGCAACGCCGCGUGAACGAUGAAGGUCUUCGGAUCGUAAAGUUCUGUUGUUAGGGAAGAACAAGUACCGUGCGAAUAGAGCGGUACCUUGACGGUACCUAACGAGGAAGCCCCGGCUAACUACGUGCCAGCAGCCGCGGUAAUACGUAGGGGGCAAGCGUUGUCCGGAAUUAUUGGGCGUAAAGCGCGCGCAGGCGGUUCCUUAAGUCUGAUGUGAAAGGCCACGGCUCAACCGUGGAGGGCCAUUGGAAACUGGGGAACUUGAGGACAGAAGAGGAGAGUGGAAUUCCACGUGUAGCGGUGAAAUGCGUAGAUAUGUGGAGGAACACCAGUGGCGAAGGCGACUCUCUGGUCUGUUUCUGACGCUGAGGUGCGAAAGCGUGGGUAGCAAACAGGAUUAGAUACCCUGGUAGUCCACGCCGUAAACGAUGAGUGCUAGGUGUUAGGGGGCUUCCACCCCUUAGUGCUGAAGUUAACGC
This 530-nucleotide ribosomal RNA is filed under the name Halobacillus sp. enrichment culture clone 7. RNAcentral's name for it is "bacterial SSU rRNA". It matches the Rfam family "Bacterial small subunit ribosomal RNA", at positions 338 to 858 of the family's 1533-position model. Lineage: Bacteria; Bacillati; Bacillota; Bacilli; Caryophanales; Bacillaceae. The record is from RNAcentral.